GACGUACUCCCUCCGUUCGGAAUUACUUGUCGCAAAAAUGGAUGUAUCUAGACGUAUUUUAGUUCUAGAUACAUCCAUUUCCGAGACAAGUAAUUCCGAACGGAAGGAGUAAUGU
This is a non-coding RNA of Triticum aestivum (bread wheat), 115 nucleotides long. NCBI's taxonomy places the organism in Eukaryota, Viridiplantae, Streptophyta, Magnoliopsida, Poales, Poaceae. The record is from Rfam.